AUUGUGGAGCAAUAUGCGGCCUGUGA
Molecule: non-coding RNA, 26 nt
Filed under: Homo sapiens (human)
Lineage: Eukaryota; Metazoa; Chordata; Mammalia; Primates; Hominidae
Source: RNAcentral